This 466-nucleotide ribosomal RNA is filed under the name Vreelandella stevensii. RNAcentral describes it as "partial 16S ribosomal RNA". It matches the Rfam family "Bacterial small subunit ribosomal RNA", at positions 338 to 795 of the family's 1533-position model. Lineage: Bacteria; Pseudomonadati; Pseudomonadota; Gammaproteobacteria; Oceanospirillales; Halomonadaceae. The record is from RNAcentral.
CCUACGGGAGGCUGCAGUGGGGAAUAUUGGACAAUGGGCGAAAGCCUGAUCCAGCCAUGCCGCGUGUGUGAAGAAGGCCUUCGGGUUGUAAAGCACUUUCAGUGGGGAAGAAAGCCUUGGGGCUAAUACCCUCGAGGAAGGACAUCACCCACAGAAGAAGCACCGGCUAACUCCGUGCCAGCAGCCGCGGUAAUACAGGAGGGUGCGAGCGUUAAUCGGAAUUACUGGGCGUAAAGCGCGCGUAGGCGGUCUGAUAAGCCGGUUGUGAAAGCCCCGGGCUCAACCUGGGAACGGCAUCCGGAACUGUCAGGCUAGAGUGCAGGAGAGGAAGGUAGAAUUCCCGGUGUAGCGGUGAAAUGCGUAGAGAUCGGGAGGAAUACCAGUGGCGAAGGCGGCCUUCUGGACUGACACUGACGCUGAGGUGCGAAAGCGUGGGUAGCAAACAGGAUUAGAUACCCUAGUAGUC